UUGCUUCCGCCGACGACCGGCGCACGGGUGCGUAACGCGUAUACAAUCUACCUUAUACUGGGGUAUAGCCUUUAGAAAUGAAGAUUAACCCCCCAUAGUCUCUUAGAGUGGCAUCACUUCUAGAGUAAAGGUUACGGUAUAAGAUGAGUAUGCGUUCUAUUAGUUUGUUGGUGUGGUAACGGCACACCAAGACUACGAUAGAUAGGGGCCCUGAGAGGGGGAUCCCCCACACUGGUACUGAGACACGGACCAGACUCCUACGGGAGGCAGCAGUGAGGAAUAUUGGACAAUGGAGGCAACUCUGAUCCAGCCAUGCCGCGUGCAGGAAGACUGCCCUAUGGGUUGUAAACUGCUUUUAUACAGGAAGAAACACCUCUACGUGUAGAGGCUUGACGGUACUGUAAGAAUAAGGAUCGGCUAACUCCGUGCCAGCAGCCGCGGUAAUACGGAGGAUCCAAGCGUUAUCCGGAAUCAUUGGGUUUAAAGGGUCCGUA
Molecule: ribosomal RNA, 494 nt
Filed under: uncultured Bacteroidota bacterium
Lineage: Bacteria; Pseudomonadati; Bacteroidota
Description: bacterial SSU rRNA
Rfam family: Bacterial small subunit ribosomal RNA
Source: RNAcentral